This is a non-coding RNA of Canis lupus familiaris (dog), 107 nucleotides long. Lineage: Eukaryota; Metazoa; Chordata; Mammalia; Carnivora; Canidae. The record is from Rfam.
GUGCUUGCUUCGGCAGCACAUAUACUAAAAUUGGAACGAUACAGAGAAGAUUAGCAUGGCCCCUGUGCAAGGAUGACAUGCAAAUUUGUGAAGCGUUCCUUAUUUAU